GAUGAACGCUGGCGGCGUGCCUAAUACAUGCAAGUCGAACGCGCAGCGAAAGGUGCUUGCACCUUUCAAGCGAGUGGCGAACGGGUGAGUAACACGUGGAUAACCUGCCUCAAGGCUGGGGAUAACAUCUGGAAACAGAUGCUAAUACCGAAUAAAACUUAGUAUCGCAUGAUACAAAGUUAAAAGGCGCUGCGGCGUCACCUAGAGAUGGAUCCGCGGUGCAUUAGUUAGUUGGUGGGGUAAAGGCUUACCAAGACGAUGAUGCAUAGCCGGGUUGAGAGACUGAUCGGCCACAUUGGGACUGAGACACGGCCCAAACUCCUACGGGAGGCUGCAGUAGGGAAUCUUCCACAAUGGGCGCAAGCCUGAUGGAGCAACGCCGCGUGUGUGAUGAAGGCUUUCGGGUCGUAAAGCACUGUUGUAUGGGAAGAACAGCUAGAAUAGGGAAUGAUUUUAGUUUGACGGUACCAUACCAGAAAGGGACGGCUAAAUACGUGCCAGCCGCCGCCGUAA
RNAcentral lists this ribosomal RNA (513 nucleotides) under uncultured bacterium. RNAcentral's name for it is "partial 16S ribosomal RNA". It matches the Rfam family "Bacterial small subunit ribosomal RNA", at positions 28 to 523 of the family's 1533-position model. The record is from RNAcentral.